Non-coding RNA from Danio rerio (zebrafish), 758 nucleotides. The record is from RefSeq and is a predicted model, not a curated record. NCBI's taxonomy places the organism in Eukaryota, Metazoa, Chordata, Actinopteri, Cypriniformes, Danionidae.
UUUUUUAACCUUUAAAUAUGAUGCUAUACUUCGCUACUUAGCUCACCAUGCUAAAACAAACCAUAAAACUGGUCCGAGUACAGCAUAAAGGGCAACAAAGGGUCUGAAGCUGCGCUGCUAACACUGCAGGAUGCAGAUAGGAUGACAUCAUCCACACGGAGCUGCUGCUCUCCCGGUGUGUGUCUGUGUGUGUUUGUGUUUGCAGCAGGCAAAGGACCAGCACUCAUAUCCCAGCCUGUGUCUUACUGUUCAAAUCGAGUCUGUACAGACAAUAAUGUCUAAAUGACUUAUGGAGUAUUAAUAACUGUCAGGGAAGCUACUAGCCUAGCGCUGUUUUUGUGAGCUAUCAGCAUGCUAGAGUUAAAUUCAGAUGCUUUCUACUCUGUAUUUUAUUGUCUUUACUUUAGUGGCGGGUGUAAGGACAUGAGAAAGAGAGAGAAAGAGAGAGCAGGACGGAGGGAGGUGCACAGAAACCCCUCCCUCAGCUCCUAUGCUGCAGCCAUCAGAAAAGACGCCUCUGACGACGGACACUUACCCAACAUGUUCCACUCUACACAAAGACACGAGAGAUUGCUGCUCUCUGGUGAUUUUGAAGUGCUUCUUCCAAAACCAUGUUUCACAAGAGUUUCACAUGCAUUCCACAUACUUCACGAGUGAUUUCAACAUGUGAUUACAGCUGUCGGCGCAUCCAGUGGCUCGGGCUUACCUAUGCACUUGAUCUCGAAGCCCCGCGGUGGUUUGAGGGCCCUCCGCGUCCA